RNAcentral lists this small RNA (112 nucleotides) under Thiopseudomonas alkaliphila. Its description in RNAcentral is "Oblitimonas alkaliphila Pseudomon-1/ErsA RNA". It matches the Rfam family "Pseudomon-1/ErsA RNA". Rfam says of the family: Functions to regulate the AlgC enzyme. Based on this information, the new name ErsA for the RNA was adopted. Negatively regulates major porin oprD expression responsible for uptake of carbapenem antibiotics, by base pairing with oprD 5'UTR (leading to increased bacterial resistance to meropenem). Lineage: Bacteria; Pseudomonadati; Pseudomonadota; Gammaproteobacteria; Pseudomonadales; Pseudomonadaceae. The record is from Rfam by way of RNAcentral.
AAGCUCCUUGAUGUGCUUAAUGUUGGCAGAUACCGAACCAAUCCCCUAGUGGUUCGGCUUAACUCCGAACUUUCCUCCCCAAUUUGAAGUUCGGAGUUUUUUUUGCCUGUUU